Molecule: long non-coding RNA, 5295 nt
Filed under: Hordeum vulgare
Lineage: Eukaryota; Viridiplantae; Streptophyta; Magnoliopsida; Poales; Poaceae
Description: long non-coding RNA (HVUL_LNC013693)
Source: RNAcentral
GCUGGAAUGAAACAGAGGUGAGAUCGGGACGCCGGCGGAGGUCCAUGGCGCCUGCAGAAUGGGAGGCAGAGAGGGAUUAGAGAGAAGAAGAGAGGAGAGGAGGAGGAAGAAGAAGCAGCAGGGGCGCGGUGGCUCGAAUUGCUCUGGAUCGGGAUCAGCGGUGGCUCGGCUCGCUCUGGAUCUGGAGAGGAGGAAGAAGAAGAACCAGCGGGCGGCGGCUCUGGAUCGGGAUCCCCUCCCGUUCGCUGCGGGCUCAACCCUUCCCCAGCAAGAGCAGGGGUGCGCCCGCGCGUCCUCCUCCUGGUACAGCCUCAAAUCCCUCAUCCAUUUCCCCGUUCUCUGCUUCUCUGACUCUAGCUGUGUUAAACGCAUAGUAUUAACUUCUUGAACGGCCAUGGCUCACCCACGGGUUCUGUGCGUCUAAAUUGCUUUGCUUGCAGGGAGGGGAAGACCGGUGAUGGACUGGCCGACGAGGGUGAAGAUCGCGGCGGGAUCGGCGCGUGGGUUGGCCUACGUGCACGAGGACUGUAAGAUGUGGAUGGGUUUACUUUUGCUCCUAUUUCUGCGUCUAUUCGUUCUGAAUUUGCAGCUGAUUUUUUGUGCUCUUUGCUGUUGUACAUAGGUCAUCCAAGGAUCAUCCACGAGGACAUCAAGUCAUCCAACAUCCUUCUCAACGACAACUUAGAAGCUCAGGUUAUGCUCUUUCUCAAUAAAAUGGCUAUUGUUCUAUCGAUGGUAGUAUGUUCAGUUACUGACCUUUGUCGAGAAAAAAAAUGUUCAGUUACUGACGAAACCUGAAUGUCGCAUUCAUCGUAAUCUAGGUCGCGGAUUUCGGGCUUGCCAGGCUCGCGGAGAACGACGUGACACACGUCUCGAUGCGUGUGAUGGGCACAUUCGGAUAAACAAACCAUAUCUAACUGCAGGAGCCAUUCAUCUCGGCACGUCGAUAGGAAAUGAGGAAAAAUUGUCAAAAACUCUGUGUUUGUGGUGACUGAAAACGAACAGGUACUUGGGACCGGAGUACGCCUCGACAGGGAAGCUGGCGGAGAAAUCGGACGUGUUCUCCUUCGGGGUGGUGCUCCUGGAGCUCAUCAACGGCCGGAAGCCCGUCGACACAUCCCGCCCCCUCGGCGACGAGAGCCUCGUGGAGUGGGUAAGCAAGAUCACCACCGGCAGGCAGCAACAGCAGCACACCCAUGCAGUACGCCAUUGCAUCCAUCACUGACAGCGUGCUCGCUCGUGCACCUUGUCGCAGUCGAGGCCGCCGCUGAANNNNNNNNNNNNNNNNNNNNNNNNCCGCGCGAUCGACGAGCAGGAGUUCGAGGAGCUGGUGGACCCGCGCCUCACCGGUGACUACGACGACGUCGAGAUGUUCCGCAUGAUCGAGGCGGCGGUGGCAUGCAUCCGGCACUCGGCCGCCAGGAGGCCCAAGAUGGGGCAGGUUCGUGCGUUCGGGCGAGGAAGAAGAACCUCCUCCAACCUCACAACGUCUAUUCUCGCCAUUUAUUUGUUUCGUCUUGGGCUGCGUUGCAGGUCGUUAGGAUUCUGGACAGCCUGACCCUGAACGACGUGGAGCUGAGCAACGGCGGCAGGAGGGAUCUGUAGCCAGCCUCGCGAGCUUCCGAUGAUUUUGUUUCUGUUCAUCUGUUGAUUGUUUUGUUCAUGAUAUUUUACAAUGAAUUUGUAUUUGCUGUCUUACUACAUGUCUCUUUCUUUCUUUCUUUGGUGUGUACGUUAACAGGGUAUGCCCACAUGGUCAUGUAUUUUUAGUUAUUCUGAACAGAUAUACGUUGUUUUUCUCAUAGGUUCCCUGAAGUAAGAAAGUGUUGUGAAUAGGGCAUUGUGGAAAUUAUUGUUGUACGCCCCUAUACACAAGCCUUCGUAGGCGUUAAGAGUCCAUCCAUGAAAAGAGGCUGGAAAAGCUUGAACCGUAAUUUCCGAUCACCCUCUAGAAUGGCAUGUUCUCCUCGGUUGAAAUAGGAAGAAUGUCAUGUUCUUGAUUAGAAUAGGCAGUUUCUUCCCUUAGAACACUACUUGAGAGUUUCCUACCUCAUACGACUCGGAAAUUGCCAUCUUAAUUUCCCACGCCAUUUGAAAUCAGUAAAUUCCUGAAAGAGGAGGGGGCGAUGAAAUGGAAUCGACCGGCUCAAAUACGACAUCUUCUAGAGGGCACAUAUUUUUUUAUGGAUUUGCUAAUCUUAAUCUUCUUGCCAAUGGUAAACACAACAAGUUGGCACAUCAUAUGACUAGAUUUUUUUUGACAAUCAUCUUUUGACUAGAAUAAGGCAAAGAGAUCGAGGUCAAAGUGGACACCGAGCUAUGGGGCAACUAUCUCUCCUAACACUAGCUUGAUUUAUAAACGCUCUCUUGAAAUGGAAUAAAACUUCAGGUGAGGAUUCUCUUCUUGUGAAAGUUUGAAAAGAAAUCUAUACAUACUAAUAAAAGAAAUAGGCAUUCUUAAUCCGUCAUACUCUUUCUCUAGAAACCCUCUUAAGUUUCUGAUAAUCAACCCGCAGUAUAUAUUAAUUGAGUUUUUGAAAAUUCAUAUCUUUUUAACGCUAACUUUAAAUUUAACAUGUUAUAUAUGAAAUUUGAUUAGAAAAAUAUGUAGAAUCUGAAUAUGAUAUUAUUUUACGUGUUAACAAUUUAAAAAUGCUAUUUACUAUAUAACCUUAAUCGAUAGCGCAUGAUCAGUCUUUCCUUCAUAUCGGUGUCGAUUCGAAUUGAAAAUGAACACUUUGGCAAAACUAGGAUGGAGAAUAAAAAUAAUAUCUAUAAUCACGCAUGCACGCCUUGUCAAAACCUCACAGAAAAAAUAAAUUUAUCAUUUUAUGUUGAGAGGGAGACAUCUUAAGAUUGACAACAUUCAAACAUGUUGUGAUGAUGUGAACACUAAAGCCAGCGUCGUGGAAAGAAGGGUAAAUAGAAAUACACAUGGGAUUUCAUGUGUUGAAAUAAAGGACACGGGCCUAUGGACCCAUGAUUGUUAGAUUAGUGAGCGUUUUUCUUACCCGUUGCAACGCACGGGCUCUUUUGCUAGUAAUACCUAUCGAGCAGCGCUGCAGCUGCCGAUCGAUCCGACACUCGAUGUCUCGAGGCUCGACUCACGAGGAAGUGCUAGCGACCCAGUGCCAUGAGCGGCCCAAUGUCCAGGAAUAGUUAACAUGUUAUAGGCCUAUAAAAAACUUGGGACCCCUAACAUCUAUGGGCCCUGUACGGGCCGCAGAGUCUGGACAGCUAUGGGCCCGGCGCUGUUAACCAGGCCCAAAUGGAUCAAGUAUGCAAAGUGGCAAAAAACGCAUCCCUACCAGUAGGCCUUGAUCAAGCCCAGAGGUAAUCAAACGCAUCCCUAGCAGUAGGCCUUGAUCAUACUAAUACAACUACUUGGCCAAAUACACAGCCAGAUUCCUUAACCCCACCCUGAAUCCCGCUGAAUGAAAUAAUAGUAUAAAUGAGUCAGGUGGCAUCGUCUAAUAUAAUACUAGUAGAUGAAUAGAGUAUUAGAGUAAAUACAAUAAAGUGACGUAGGGGCGGGGGGCCCUCUAAGACUCAAAAUGGUAUAUUAUUUUAGUUGAAAGAGAGAGAAGAAAAAAAAAAGGACUACAAACUAAUAGCCAGUUGUAGCACGUGGUCCUAGAAACUUUGUGAAAGAGAAAGAUGGGCCAUGUAUUAAUAACUAUUAUAUUUGUUGGCUAUAAGUUUGGCUAUAAAUAAAAUGACAACAUCAUAUAGCUAGCAGUAUUCAUAAACAUUCUCUUAGGACAUAUCUAGGACACAUCUAGAAGUGCCUAAUUAUUGCACCCCUAAGUGACACAAUCAAGCAUAACACAGAUCUCCGCACAAAUUCAAUGAUAUAGAAAUUAGAUGUGUAAAUACUUAUGGGCUAUGGCACAUCUAGACUAUAUGUGCUUUAGGUUGGACGGUAUUAAUAUUUUCUGGGCUUCCCACGCAUAAUGGGCUAGUUUGGUUUGCAUCCACGGUGGUAUUCCUGAGGAAAAGUGCUGCCUGGCGUGGCUUGAAAUGUGAAGAAAAUUUUGCCUGGUCAAGCAGCGUGUGGCGAAAGACGUUUGGUUUCCUUACUCGCCUGAUGAGUUAUGUAGGUUCGAAAAUUAGCCCAUCAGCUCGUCCAUCGAGAAGUAUUACGUUGGUUAGCGUCCCAGGCAGCUGUUAGUGGUCACGAGGCGUGGGAUUCCUUGCGCCUGGACCAGGCUAACCACCUGCCUGAAGUCUCCUGCCAGGCUAAUCACUACUCAUCCAGGCAACCUCAGGCAUUUCCAGGACAGUAACCAAACGAGUUCCUCAAAACAGCAGGCACGCUUCAGGCCGGAUGUCAUGAGGACACGAACCAAACUGACUCAAUGUACUUGCACACUGAUGUCCUAGUGCUUGUGAGAGAAUCGGAAAUCUCGAACAACUCUGUUGGUGAUUCAAGAAGCAUGCUCUAGAAUUUCUCCUUCCGUAAGCCAAAAGAUCCACGCCCUAUAAUCGAGGUAAAGCACUCGCGCAGCUCUGAUUAGCUAUCUAAUUAAUUAAUCCAGCUAGGUGCUCUAGUACUAGGUGAGCGGAUUGAGGCGAGGUGCUCUAGUACUAAAUGCAAUGGAGCGAAUGGGAAUAAACGCAAGCACCUGGCGGGCGGUUGAAGCUGGCCUGGUCCUGGUGGCGCUCCGCUCCCAGUCCCAGCUUCCAGUGGGCGUAGCCGCGGGGGAGAGGGUGGGUGACCAAGGAGGAGGACGCAAUUUAGCUGGAAGACGAGGCGGGGUGAGGUGAUCCGGCUCGCCGUCGUCUUCGCCUGGAGCUGGAGGUCGACCAGGGCAGCUCCGCGCCCUCACCCUCUCCGCCGCCUGGAUUUCCGCGCCAUCAGGCCGACCACGCACGCCCAGCUUGCACGUCGGGGCGUCUCGUCCCCGCGCCACCACCCGCGCGGCCGACGAGUCGGUCUGGCGCCUGCGUUACGAGCGCGCGGCCGCGGCCGCGCCCUUGGCUCCUCUCACGCUCGGCUGCUGUGGAUUCUUUCACUCAGGGACAGAGGGGAGCGUUUUAAGGUGGGCCGGAGGAUAACGCGAUUCUUAUUUUCCACAUGGUUAUUUUGGUUUUUGUUCAUUUUUCUUUGAUUUUUUUUAUUUCCUUCUCUUUUUUUAUCGUUUUCUAGGUUUUCACUGUUUCUUUUUGGGUUUUGAUUGUUUCCAUUCUUUUACAUGGUUUUGUUUUCUUUUCCUGUGGUCUGGUUUCUUUGUUUCUUUUCUCAAUUUUAAUGGUUUUUUCAUUAUUAUUUUUCUUUAUUUCACUGUCAGUUUU